AUGAACGCUGGCGGCGUGCCUAAUACAUGCAAGUCGAGCGAACGGACGAGAAGCUUGCUUUUCUGAUGUUAGCGGCGGCCGGGUGAGUAACACGUGGAUAACCUACCUAUAAGACUGGGAUAACUUCGGGAAACCGGAGCUAAUACCGGAUAAUAUUUUGAACCGCAUGGUUCAAAAGUGAAAGACGGUCUUGCUGUCACUUAUAGAUGGAUCCGCGCUGCAUUAGCUAGUUGGUAAGGUAACGGCUUACCAAGGCAACGAUGCAUAGCCGACCUGAGAGGGUGAUCGGCCACACUGGAACUGAGACACGGUCCAGACUCCUACGGGAGGCAGCAGUAGGGAAUCUUCCGCAAUGGGCGAAAGCCUGACGGAGCAACGCCGCGUGAGUGAUGAAGGUCUUCGGAUCGUAAAACUCUGUUAUUAGGGAAGAACAUAUGUGUAAGUAACUGUGCACAUCUUGACGGUACCUAAUCAGAAAGCCACGGCUAACUACGU
This 495-nucleotide ribosomal RNA is filed under the name uncultured bacterium. RNAcentral's name for it is "partial 16S ribosomal RNA". It matches the Rfam family "Bacterial small subunit ribosomal RNA", at positions 29 to 506 of the family's 1533-position model. The record is from RNAcentral.